This 2204-nucleotide long non-coding RNA is filed under the name Amborella trichopoda. RNAcentral describes it as "long non-coding RNA (ATRI_LNC005311)". The record is from RNAcentral. Lineage: Eukaryota; Viridiplantae; Streptophyta; Magnoliopsida; Amborellales; Amborellaceae.
UCUUUUCAAAAAAAAAAAAAUCCCAGGGUUUUGAUAAAAGGCAAGGGCAAUGCCAGUAAAUUCCCUCGACUUAACCUUUAUAAAGGAGUGAGUGAGUGAGUGAGGGAGCGAGCGAGCGAGCUGAGCCACGGGACCACGCUCUCAUAUCUCAAUCAACAGUGAGAAACGAUGGACAAUUCCAUCAUUUGGUGCUCGAAACAGGUGGGUGGAGGAGGCGGAGGAGGAGGGGGCGGCGCGUCGGUCGUUGGUGGGGGAAGUGGAGGGUGGGGAUGUUAUCCUCCCCCACCCAAGUGGAGGAAACUUAUGAGAAAGUUGAAGAAAGAGAGCAAGAGGCUCUGCUGGAGUAGCAAUAGCAGAGGACCAGCUUUUGAUUGCUACUAUGAUCCACUCAGUUAUGCUCAAAACUUUGACAGGGCCUCCUCUUCUUCCGAUUCCUCUUCCGGCCAUCUGUAUGCGUUCUCGGCUCGGUUCGCUGUUGCUCGGCCUCCGCCUCCUCCACAGAUUGCUACAAGUUAGGGGACAGGACUCUCUCUCUCUCUCUCUCUCUCUCUAAAGUAGGAUCCAUUUUUCUCCACCCCCACAAGAAGCCUACCUCAAAACUCUCCCUGUACACACUUGAAAGUUGAAUCUACUAUCCUCUCUUAUUUUCUUUUUUUUGUAAGAGGAAGAGGAGCUUCUUUCUUUCUUUCUCAAGAGUUUCUCUCUCUAGAGUUUUUUUUCUAGGUCCUUUCUUGUUCCUUUCCUGAGUAAUUUCUCUCUUUUUGGCUCUUUUUCAUCUUGGGUUUUUUCAUCUCUGAGAACAUGUUCUUGUCUUUCUCUCUCUACUGGGUUCUCUUUUCUACUCUUUUGAUUUGCCUUUUUUACUUUUUUGGGAUAUGUUACUGUGUAUUGAAGGAAGGAAUUCCUUGAAAUUUUGACAGCCUCUGUAAAUUAUCAUCUUUUUAGUGUUAUUUUCGUUAUUAUUCCCUUCUUUUGUAAUUUACUUUUUCUUUCUUUUAGCAAAUGAAUGAAUGGAUGUGAGAAGUUUACCUUGCGUUUGUUAGCGCAACAUUCUUUGGUUUCUGUUGAAGGAAUCGAGGCAGCGUGAGGUCUAAAGAUAAUUUCGGUUGCAUCCCUACCUGCUUAUUAGCUGGGAAAGAUUAUAUGGAUACCCCUUAAAAUGCACUUACAUUUUACCCCCACCCCACCUCUCCAUAUUAUUAAUAUCACAUCCAUAGCUUAUUGUUUUUUUUUUUGUUUUUAUCCUAGUGAAAAAAAAAUUAUUAUUUUAAAUACUAAAUUAUCUUUCUCCUCUUUUACCCUACCUAUUAAAACUCUUUCACUCUACUUACCUGAUAUAUGUCUCACUGUUUCUUUGCCCACUAUCACUCUCUCUCUUCCUCUCUCGUUAAAAACAUGCGGUUAGGCACAAAAGUGUGUCGGAUUAGCUUUUGAUUUUUGGAAAUCCAAAAGCCUUGUGAUCGGUCUGGCACACUUUCAUACCAAAUCGAAGAAAAAAUAAAAAAAAAGCAAUCGGUCACAAAAGUGUGCCGAACCAGCUUUUGUGAUGAACCAGACUUCUGGAAAACCAAAAGCCCUAUGACCGAUGCGGCACACUUUUGUGAUGGACCGAAACAAAAAAAAUUAUAGUAAUCAAUUACAAAAAUGUGUCGGACCGGCUUUUGGCUUAUGGAAUUCCAAAAGUAUCAUGGCCAUACUUUUGUACCAGACCGAAUUAGUUUUGCUUCGGUGUGCCAAACCGACCACGAGGCAUCUGGAAUUUCAAAAGCUAAUCCAACACACUCUUGUGUCAGACCGUUUUUUUUUUUUACUUUGAUACCGGUUACAAGGCUUCUGGAUUUCCAGCAUCCAGUCUGACACCGUAUUUUUUCACUAUGAGAGAAAGAGAGAGAGAUUGGGUGGAGAGAGAGACUGAUACUAUGCGGAGAGAGAUAGAGAGAGAAUGACAUUGCAUAGAGAGAGAUUAAGAUUGAAUGGAGAGAGAGAUUGAUAUCGGACAGGUAGAGAGAGUUUUAACAUGUAGGACAAGAGAGAAGAAAAGUAGUUUAGUAUUUACAACAUUAACUUUUUUACUAUGAUAAAAAUAAGAGUAAUUUGAUUAUGAGUAGGAUACCAAAAAUAUUGAGAGAUGGAAUGUUACAACUGGGGUCCUAUUAGUUAAACCCUGCUUGAUACUUAGGUACAUGGCUCCAAUUAAGUGGUCC